UUCCCAGACUCCUACGGGAGGCAGCAGUGAGGAAUAUUGGUCAAUGGUCGGGAGACUGAACCAGCCAAGCCGCGUGAGGGAUGAAGGUACAGAGUAUCGUAAACCUCUUUUGUCAGGGAACAAAGGCGGGGACGUGUCCCCGGAUGAGUGUACCUGAAGAAAAAGCAUCGGCUAACUCCGUGCCAGCAGCCGCGGUAAUACGGAGGAUGCGAGCGUUAUCCGGAUUUAUUGGGUUUAAAGGGUGCGCAGGCGGUCUGUUAAGUCAGCGGUCAAAGCCCGGGGCUCAACCCCGUACUGCCGUUGAAACUGCAUCCCUUGAGUGCGCGAGAAGUAUGCGGAAUGCGUGGUGUAGCGGUGAAAUGCAUAGAUAUCGCGCAGAACUCCGAUUGCGAAGGCAGCAUGCCGGCUCCACACUGACGCUGAGGCACGAAAGCGUGGGUAUCGAACAGGAUUAGAUACCCUCGUACC
RNAcentral lists this ribosomal RNA (468 nucleotides) under uncultured bacterium. RNAcentral's name for it is "bacterial SSU rRNA". It matches the Rfam family "Bacterial small subunit ribosomal RNA", at positions 328 to 796 of the family's 1533-position model. The record is from RNAcentral.